CCAAAGGCACGCUCAGGUCAAAAUGCGACGGACCGAAAAAUCCUUCACGGCACCGGAAAAAAAACUCAUUACGCGACACUUCAAUCUCGCUCCCACAAUCAAGAAUUUCAACAAACAAAUACAAAUUCGAAUUCAACAUCGAAGAAGAAAUAGGAACGUAAUUGAAUCCGCGUGGAAAUUCGACAUCGAAAGUAGGCUUCAAAAAUGAAUCCGAAUCGAAGUUGCGCGUGA
This 231-nucleotide long non-coding RNA is filed under the name Lathyrus oleraceus (garden pea). Its description in RNAcentral is "Pisum sativum (pea) long non-coding RNA (PSAT_LNC003298)". The record is from RNAcentral. Lineage: Eukaryota; Viridiplantae; Streptophyta; Magnoliopsida; Fabales; Fabaceae.